UACAGAGGUCUCGAGCGUUGUUCGGAUUCAUUGGGCGUAAAGGGUGCGUAGGCGGCGAGCUAAGUUUGGUGUGAAAUCCUGGGGCUUAACCCCAGAAAUGCACUGAAUACUGGUUUGCUAGAGGACUGGAGAGGAGAUUGGAAUUCACGGUGUAGCAGUGAAAUGCGUAGAUAUCGUGAGGAAGACCAGUGGCGAAAGCGAAUCUCUGGACAGUUCCUGACGCUGAUGCACGAAGGCUAGGGGAGCAAACGGG
RNAcentral lists this ribosomal RNA (253 nucleotides) under uncultured bacterium. RNAcentral describes it as "partial 16S ribosomal RNA". It matches the Rfam family "Bacterial small subunit ribosomal RNA", at positions 524 to 776 of the family's 1533-position model. The record is from RNAcentral.